GACGAACCGUGCGAACGUUGUUCGGAAUCACUGGGCUUAAGGGCGCGUAGGCGGUCCACCAAGUCAGGGGUGAAAUCUUUCGGCUUAACCGGAAAAGUGCCUUUGAUACUGGUGGACUCGAGGGAGGUAGGGGCAGAUGGAGCUGGUGGUGGAGCGGUGAAAUGUGUAGAUAUCACUAGGAACGCCGGUGGCGAAAGCGAUCUGCUGGACCUCUACUGACGCUGAGGCGCGAAAGCCAGGGGAGCAAACGGG
RNAcentral lists this ribosomal RNA (252 nucleotides) under uncultured bacterium. RNAcentral's name for it is "partial 16S ribosomal RNA". It matches the Rfam family "Bacterial small subunit ribosomal RNA", at positions 524 to 776 of the family's 1533-position model. The record is from RNAcentral.